UGGGCAAGUUCCUUAACCUGUUUGCCUCAUUAUUCUUAAGUGUAAAAUGAGCUGGAGAAGGAAAUGGUGAACCAUUGCAGAAUCUCUGCCAAGAAAACCCCAAAUGAGGACACGAAGAAUGAGACAUGACUGAAAUAACUCAACAACAACUAAGCACCAGGUGAAGGAGGCACACCUUGGAGAGACCCAAGACAAGGAAGUCAAUCAACAAGCAUCGGUUAAAAACCUGGUAGGCCUUGAGGACCAGCCCAGUUGAUUCUGGAGAGGCUUACCACCUAAGCUGGCCACCGAAGAAUGGAAGCUUCUCCUGUAACAACUCAAGAAGAUUGUCCACUACGAUGCUGGGGAGGGGAGGGGUCAUGAUCAACCCUGGUGGAGGGAAACACACACCUGUUGUAUUGAAGCUCAAAUCACACCUUCUCAGGAAAACCAGGCCUGACUAUCCUGUCUCUCACCAAACUGGACAGGUAACUCUCUGUUUUAUACACCAGCAUUUUUUACAUGAUGCCUCAUGGCUCACUGAAGCUUCCUGAUCAAA
RNAcentral lists this long non-coding RNA (538 nucleotides) under Phascolarctos cinereus (koala). RNAcentral describes it as "lncRNA (ENSPCIG00000009352.2)". Lineage: Eukaryota; Metazoa; Chordata; Mammalia; Diprotodontia; Phascolarctidae. The record is from RNAcentral.